Molecule: ribosomal RNA, 810 nt
Filed under: Cantharellus cibarius (golden chanterelle)
Lineage: Eukaryota; Fungi; Basidiomycota; Agaricomycetes; Cantharellales; Hydnaceae
Description: eukaryotic LSU rRNA
Rfam family: Eukaryotic large subunit ribosomal RNA
Source: RNAcentral
GAGUGAAGAGGGAAGAGCUCAUCAUUGGAAUCUGGCAGUGUUUCACUGUCCGAGUUGUAGAUGAGGAGUAGUCCGUCUGGACUGCAUGGCGUCCAAGUACAAUAGGCCGUCAGUGGGACAUCAUAGAGGGUGACAAUCCCGUCCUUGACGCCAAUGUGCAAGUCUAUUACGAUGGCUAUCUCAGAGAGUCGAGCAGUUUGGGAUUUGCUGCUUAAACAUGGGAGGUAGAUUCCUUCUAAAGCUAAAUACAGGCGAGAGACCGAUAGAGAACAAGUACCGCAAGGGAAAGAUGAAAUAGCACUCUGUGAAGGGAGUCAAAAGGCGUGAAAUUGUUGCGAGAGAAGCGAUUCAAGUCAGCGUAGCUAGGCCCAUCAAGCGUCUUCGCUUUGGACUAGCUUUGCCAGCGGUCUUGUCCCUUAAAGAGACUUGACUUGUAAUAUGUCCAGCCUGGCGUGCACAGGCAGCCCCUUCUGGGGGGCCAGUGACAUGGCUGGUGGAAUGGCUUGCAAUCGACCCGUCUUGAAACACGGACCAAGGAGUCUAACAUGUAUGCGAGUAUAAGGGUGGCAAACCCGUAUGCGCAAUGAAAGUGAUUUUCGGUGAUUGAGAAUGGCCUGAUGACCAGACAAGCAAUAUAUGUCCCUCGUACGGCCAUUGCCCAAGUUCCGUGGUAGAUCCCACGAACAUGGAGUUGGAGCAUACAUGCUAGGACCCGAAAGAUGGUGAACUAUGCCUGGACAAAGCGAAGCCAAAGGAAACUCUGGUGGAGGCUUGUAGCGAUUCUGACGUGCAAAUCGAUCGUCUGAUCUG